CCAUGAGAAAUAUGUAAAAUAUUUACCAAACACAUCCAAGUCCCCAAAGUAGUGGCUGAAACAACAUAAAGUAUACAUGGAGAUUCCAACUUUAGUCUUUACUCAGAUUCUCCGAAAAUAUCGUCAAGUGUGUAUUCGAUCCUCGAGGACUGUAUUUUUGAAGUAUCUGACAUGCAAGUUUUUGAAGAGUUCGCAUAGCGCAAGUCUCAGCUAUGCACCAUUUGAUGCAAGUCUAUUUGGUGACCUGACUGACAACUCAGCAAAAUUUGUGCCCCAAAUACAUUAAAGUCCUCACUACUCCAUUUAAGCUCGGCUCAUGUUAUCAUCAUAACAAACAAAAAUAAAAAAGGAGUCGAGAUUAAAAAAAAAGAUAUGAUUGCUUGGCAUUAGCCCAUGUAACUUUUAUUAUUAUCAUAUGGAAUCAUAAACAUAGACAAGACUCCUCCUAAGCCAUCUAUAAAUGGAAGAAUGUGAGACUAGUUGGCACAAAAGUUAUUCACAUUACCAGAUCUCAAGACUAUUCAAAUAACCAUUAGUUAUCUAAAUCAGUAAGCAGAUCAACAAGGAAAUGAAAUGAAAACAAAACUGCAUAGAUGAUUUUUAUCUGCUGAAUGUACAAGACAAAGUAAGACGGUUAUUACAUGAUAGGAAAAAUUCAAUUCUAAAGCUGAGCCAGCCUUUUGUAGGUCACUCAAAUAUUAGACAACUACAUCUACUUAUUUCCACAAUCAUGUUUGUAUUUGGAAGUACAACAAACAUAAUCUGUGCCAAAUGAAAAACAAAACAAGUGGGACUAUCUACAUGCCAUUGUACAACAAUCACGGAUGAGUGAAAGGACUCUAAAAUAUAUUUUCUAACUAAAAGUGACUUUUACAAGAUAGGUAUGGUACAGAGAGACCUAAUAUAUGCCCCAGAAAAGUGAGUUUUCAGACUGAUAUAGUACAGCCUAAUUCCCUAGCAGCAGUAUCAAGAAAUUGAGCAGACAUUCCAUUUUCAAGCCGGCUAUUAGCUUCCCACAUCAAACACUUCUCAAUAUCCGCUUUCCAGUCACUGAUGCUUAUGCCAAGGUACUGAUAAGCAGGAUUGUGGAUGCCAUUUACAUCUGCUGCUUGUUUGGCACUUGGUUUUACUGAACCAGCAUACAUAAUGUCACGAAGAACUGAUGUACUGAGAGCACGGACAUGUGCACUUGGAUGAGAAACACAGCGAACUGUGGCAGGUAAGCGACACUGCAAUGUAUUAACCCAAAGGAACCUAGUUAGUAUUGUACCUACGUUUAUCUUAUCAUCAAGUGCAAAGUAAAAUUAAAGAAUAUAACUUUUUUCACUCUUAAGGGGGUGUUUGGUAUGGAGAUGGUUCUCCAAUUUUCUCAUGUUUGGUUGGUCAAAAUGUUUUAGGAAACAUUCUCUAGGAAAACAAGUUCCUUAAAAAUGAUGAUAUUUGGGAUCAUACUCCACCUCAGGCUGCAGUUGGUACUUUGUACGGGAAGAAGGAAGAAGUUGAAUUCUCUUAAAGGGUUGGUAGUGCACUGAUAUUAAGGGAGGAUUUACCAACUAACUCCUAAUGGCUCAUACUCAAUGUCAAGUAGUUACAAGCCAUGCUUGGUGAUCUAUAUAGCUUGUCUGAAGCUCAAUUGGUCUGGAGUUCAAUCAUGUAGCCUAGGCAGAGACUGAUGGUUUGGUUGGCGUACCAUGACAAACUUUUAACCAAAGAAAGGCUGCACAGACAACACAUCCAGUUGAUGAUGAUGUAUGUUGUUUAUGUGAUGAGGGGAUAACUGAGACUCAUCAGCACCUAUUUGCAGACUGUCAAUGGAUAACUACUGUGAAUACUGCUUUAGCUACUUGAAUUGGUGAAUCUUUACCACAGAAAACUGCUAAACAAAGCCUGAGCUGGAUGAAAAGAAGACACCGGAGACAGUUUAAGCAGGAAGUUGUAACAGCUAAUGUAUGGUGCUUUGAUAUACUAUACUUAGCAAGCUAGGAAUUGGAAAUUGUUUUAGGCAAUUAACUGUAAAUACUGAGUUUGCUGUUACACAUACAAAAGGAAUUGAAAGAGAGACUAGAGUUAGUUUCAAGCUCUAGGAAGGCUAGGAACCGUCACAUGUUGAUUCAUGAACUCUGCAAUUAGUUUUGAGAUGCUGUUUUUUUUUUGUUUUGCUGGUUCCUGAUGUCUAGAUUCUCUCUGCACUCUUCGUAGAAGUUGGCUGAGACGCUAGAUGCUCUUUAGUUUGUAAAUAUUUUUGGGUGUUGUGGUGAUAUUCGCAGUUUAUUACCCAAAAAAAUGAGAAAUAAUAACUUCCCUAAUGAAAGUAGGAUAAACAAGUUUCAUAAGUGACAUUCCAAGUUCAUUGUCUCCCCCUCCCUACCCACAACCCCCAACGCUUGACCAUUCCACUCCCCAUAGUGUUUUGCUAGAUUACAUAUAAAUACUUUUCGGACUAUUUUUUUGUUGCUUAUUUACUAAACACUAGAAAAUAAGUAAGAUACCCACUAGCUCUCCAAGAAAACAGUUCCCUUCAUACCAAGUACACCCUUAUUGAUCCCCAAUUUGAACUAAGUGUAGUAAAGAGUAUCACCUUCAAUAGGUUUGUGAGGCCAUCAGCAACUGACUGUCCAGAUUCUCCCCAGUCAAGCACUGGUUGAAUUGCUCUAGCUGUCACUUCCAAAAGCU
This 2673-nucleotide long non-coding RNA is filed under the name Solanum tuberosum (potato). RNAcentral's name for it is "long non-coding RNA (STUB_LNC011823)". Lineage: Eukaryota; Viridiplantae; Streptophyta; Magnoliopsida; Solanales; Solanaceae. The record is from RNAcentral.